This 398-nucleotide long non-coding RNA is filed under the name Lynx pardinus (Iberian lynx). Lineage: Eukaryota; Metazoa; Chordata; Mammalia; Carnivora; Felidae. The record is from RNAcentral.
CUUGAUACUUUUGGAGGAAAAGUGGAAGAGAGUACUGAAUCCAACCUCAGGCCUUGUAGAGUGCAUGGUAUUUGAAUUUACUUAUUGACGGUUUUGUUGGAAAUCCUUGUUUCCCAAAACUCAUCUAGACAACUGACCUCUGGCAGGAAACACGGGAGGGGCAGUGCCUCGUGGGAGCGUCUGCCACGCCCCAUCCUGAGCGGGAAUGCUCGGAGAGGCUGGGCAUUAUUUAUGGAGAUGUCCAGGUGACAGGGGGAACUUCUGGCCAGGAACUGCCUGUGGUGUCACAUCCGUAACCUGGCUGACAUCGGAACGCCCUGGGGGGAGCAUUUCUCCAGGAAAGGAUGGUGGGUCAGGAGCCCCCAUGGCGUCUUUUCAAAGCAAUAAUAAAGAUAUCA